Molecule: non-coding RNA, 518 nt
Organism: Trichosurus vulpecula (common brushtail)
Lineage: Eukaryota; Metazoa; Chordata; Mammalia; Diprotodontia; Phalangeridae
Source: the annotation of a RefSeq genome assembly
CCUCUGAGUGCUCACUCUACAGGUCUGUAAAGGCCAGGAUGGUCUCCCCAUGGCAGCUUCUCUGGCUCCUGGUACUCUGGGCUCAGGGUGCACAAGGAGCCAUUGUGCUGACCCAAUCUCCAGGAUCCUUGUCCAAAUCUCUAGGAGAGAGAGUCACCAUCAACUGCAAGGCCAGUGAGAGUGUAAUAAGUAGUUCUGGUAAUAGCUACUUACAUUGGUACCAGCAGAAGCCUGGCCAAGCCCCCAGGCUCCUCAUCUAUCGUGCUACCAAUCUGGAAUCUGGAGUGCCUGCCCGGUUCAGUGGCAGUGGGUCUGGGACAGAUUUCACUCUCACCAUCAACAACCUGGAGCCUGAGGAUGCUGGAGAUUAUUACUGUCAGCAGUCUAAGAGCUACCCUUUCCCACAGUGCUUCAGCCCUGAACAAAAACCUCCCCAGGCUGUUCAGGGGAUUCAGCUCAGAGCAUUAGCUGUUUCCUCUCUCAUCCCCAGUGCAGAGCAGCCCCUGAUCUCUGGGUAG